Cheilinus undulatus (humphead wrasse) is the source of this 951-nucleotide long non-coding RNA. RefSeq lists it as uncharacterized. The record is from RefSeq and is a predicted model, not a curated record. NCBI's taxonomy places the organism in Eukaryota, Metazoa, Chordata, Actinopteri, Labriformes, Labridae. The transcript has 5 exons.
GGAAGACGAGGAAGAGGAGAGGAGGCUGGUGGAGCAGAGGGCUCACAUUCAAAAGGAGUGGGAGGCUGCUGACUUUAGACAGUCAGCCAUCCUGUUUUAAGCAGAAGUUUUCAGAUGACACAGCCCUAGUUGGCCUACUUACCCAUGGUAAUGACCAUGGGUACAAAAAACGGAUUGAUUCUUUCUCUCCCAUUCCUACGUGUAGGAAUCAGCUCCAAGCUGCAGAGGCAAUUCCCGUGCCAGAGCUGGAGAAGAGCCCGCUGCCGUCAACCAGCAAGUCCCAGUGCCCUCAGCUUGGUCAUCCUGUCCGUGUCCCUGAUGCAGAGACAAAACUCACUUUAAGUGAGAGAUCAGCCCACAAGAUGGUUCAGUCCCAGUCCAGGUCUUCGCCCUAAAUCCAGGCAGCAGCAGCAAAAGGCAAACGUUUGUUUAGUGCCUCAGGCCCUGCCCUUGAUGUCAGAAUCCUUCAAGGUGUCAUUCGGUGAAACAGGAGGGUGUGUGCAGCAGAGCGGACUGCCGUUACCAGUUUUGCACAACCUUCUUGUAUGCUUUCCACAGCUCAAAAGAGUGUGGCAGCAGGUCUGCAGGUCGCCACAAGAAGGACAUUCUUCUUCCUGGAAGCGCUCAGAGCAAGCGAAACAUCAGGAGACUGUAAACAGAAAGUUGACUGGAUUCCUGUUUGCAUCUGCCAUAAAAACGUCUGAUUUUUCUCGUCUAAUGGGGAAGGAAAGCUGUGGCAGCAGGGAAACUUAUUUCAGUAGAUGAGCACAAGUUCUGUAUUUACUAAUGUCUUUAUUCCUGUCUGUUUUUUAUAUGUUUUUUUGCUGUACAGUUCUUGCAGUUUUCAAUUAUGAAUGUGAAGGGAGUUGCAGUAAAAUGAACUUCUUUUGCUCAUUCUCCCUUUCAUACAUGUUUACCAGCUGUACAUAGUGUUUUUGGGGAGCCCUUGUA